Molecule: ribosomal RNA, 391 nt
Filed under: uncultured Armatimonadota bacterium
Lineage: Bacteria; Bacillati; Armatimonadota
Description: bacterial SSU rRNA
Rfam family: Bacterial small subunit ribosomal RNA
Source: RNAcentral
CGCUGAGUUUGAUCCUGGCUCAGGACGAACGCUUGCGGCGUGCCUAAGAAAUGCAAGUCGAACGGGGGCUUCGGCCCCAGUGGCGAACGGUCGCGUAACACGUAAGCAACCUGCCCUGAAGUGGGGGACAACAUCCCGAAAGGGGUGCUAAUACCGCAUGUGGUCACGAGUCGGCAUCGACUUGUGUCUAAAGAUUUAUCGCUUCAGGAUGGGCUUGCGGCCUAUCAGGUAGUUGGUGGGGUAAUGGCCUACCAAGCCGACGACGGGUAGCUGGUCUGAGAGGACGAUCAGCCGGAUUGGGACUGAGAUACGGCCAGACUCCUACGGGGGGCAGCAAUUAGGAAUCUUGCGCAAUGGGGGAAACCCUGACGCAGCGACGUCGCGUGAAGGA